This 1276-nucleotide long non-coding RNA is filed under the name Sinocyclocheilus grahami. RNAcentral describes it as "lncRNA (ENSSGRG00000008422.1)". The record is from RNAcentral. Lineage: Eukaryota; Metazoa; Chordata; Actinopteri; Cypriniformes; Cyprinidae.
GACACUUUUAGGACAUCCUAUCUCUGCUAUUGAGUUGUGAGUGAGUGGGCAGAAGCACAGACAUUAUGUAACUGAACUGUUCCUGCCUCAGAGACAGUAAGAGAGCAUCCACACACACAUGAGAGAGAGAGAGAGAGACAGUGGGAAAUAAAUAAAUUAAAAUCUCACCUGACCUGGUUAGGGUGAGUGAAUAAAGAGAUGAAGCUGAAAGGGGAGACAGUGAUUGUUUGUAACAGUGAUGAGACAGUCAGUGCUUUUCUCUCAUUCUGUGUGUGAGUCAUUGUUUGGCUGAGCAGCAGUGUACUGGAAACCACAGAGAAGGACAACAAGAAAACCUCCAGCAGGUUUCUCUGUUUUGGCUCGGAGGGGAUGGAUUGUUCUACAGCUUUUGCCUCAGGCAGUGUCCUCAGUUUCCAAUGGACUGCUAUCAAGUGACUCUAUUCAUAGCCCUUGCCCUGUCCCAGGCAAGCCAUGUGUCCUCUCAGCAGUAUUACACCGCACAUCUGUUCAGCUGCUUUCUUUCUCCAUUAUCAUUUAGUCAGACUCAUUUAAGAUGCAGUGCUAUCAGAGGAGAUUAUGUUCACCCCUGAGAGGGCAUCUCCCGUUCCUCAAGCCGCUUUCUACACAGCCAUUUUCUGUACAGUAACAAUAUAAUCCAGUGCCCGUUCUUAUAUAACUCCAGCAAAGUACAGAUAUUAAUAAUCCCACUGGGCCUGUGGCACGUUGGCUCUGUGACAUCACCGUCAGCCACAGAGGAGUAUGACUAGAGCACUGUGGGUAAACACGCUUAAGAGCAGGACAUGGAGCACUUUGCUGGAGUUCACAGAGAGCGGGGCUGCCAGUGUGUAGACUAUUCAUAGAUUAUGGGCCAUGGUAUGUACCACUUCUGCACACAGAUGUGUGGAUUAAGACAUAAUUGAUUUGUAGAUUACUGUCUGUGGGUUGAUUUUUGUUGAGUAUGUAAUGUACACUAAAUCUUAGAAGCUUUUAAGUGUAUUUGUAUUGUCUUUGGGUAUUAUGUUUGCAUUUAUUGUUUGCUUAGAUUAUUUGGGAUUAUUGGAUUCAUAACUGUAAAAUAUCAUCUAUUGUUGUGUUUAUAAGAAUGAUUUAUGUUGUGCAUGCAGGGGUCAUAUUAAUGUUCAUGCUUAUGUGAUAUGGCUCAGAGCGUGUGCGUGUGUCUGUGGGUAAACACGCUUAAGAGCAGGACAUGGAGCACUUUGCUGGAGUUCACAGAGAGCGGGGCUGCCAGUGUGUAGACUAUUCAUAGAUUAUGGGC